AGCGGCGAACGGGUGAGUAACACGUGGGUGAUCUGCCUCGUACUCUGGGAUAAGCCUGGGAAACUGGGUCUAAUACCGGAUAGGACUACCGGAUGCAUGUCUGGUGGUGGAAAGAUUUAUCGGUGCGAGAUGGGCCCGCGGNCUAUCAGCUUGUUGGUGGGGUAACGGCCUACCAAGGCGACGACGGGUAGCCGACCUGAGAGGGUGACCGGCCACACUGGGACUGAGACACGGCCCAGACUCCUACGGGAGGCAGCAGUGGGGAAUAUUGCACAAUGGGCGGAAGCCUGAUGCAGCGACGCCGCGUGAGGGAUGACGGCCUUCGGGUUGUAAACCUCUUUCGACAGGGACGAAGCGCAAGUGACGGUACCUGUAUAAGAAGCACCGGCCAACUNCGUGCCAGCAGCCGCGGUAAUACGUAGGGUGCGAGCGUUGUCCGGAAUUACUGGGCGUAAAGAGCUUGUAGGCGGUUCGUCGCGUCGAUUGUGAAAACUUGCAGCUCAACUGCAAGCUUGCAGUCGAUACGGGCGGACUAGAGUACUUCAGGGGAGACUGGAAUUCCU
This 563-nucleotide ribosomal RNA is filed under the name Nocardia sp. 410E11. Its description in RNAcentral is "bacterial SSU rRNA". It matches the Rfam family "Bacterial small subunit ribosomal RNA", at positions 94 to 671 of the family's 1533-position model. The record is from RNAcentral. Lineage: Bacteria; Bacillati; Actinomycetota; Actinomycetes; Mycobacteriales; Nocardiaceae.